RNAcentral lists this ribosomal RNA (254 nucleotides) under uncultured bacterium. RNAcentral describes it as "partial 16S ribosomal RNA". It matches the Rfam family "Bacterial small subunit ribosomal RNA", at positions 524 to 777 of the family's 1533-position model. The record is from RNAcentral.
UACAGAGGGUGCGAGCGUUGUCCGGAAUCACUGGGCGUAAAGGGUGCGUAGGCGGGUCUUUAAGUCAGGGGUGAAAUCCUGGAGCUCAACUCCAGAACUGCCUUUGAUACUGAAGAUCUUGAGUUCGGGAGAGGUGAGUGGAACUGCGAGUGUAGAGGUGAAAUUCGUAGAUAUUCGCAAGAACACCAGUGGCGAAGGCGGCUCACUGGCCCGAUACUGACGCUGAGGCACGAAAGCGUGGGGAGCAAACAGGG